This is a non-coding RNA of Rhinopithecus roxellana (golden snub-nosed monkey), 1161 nucleotides long. The record is from the annotation of a RefSeq genome assembly. Lineage: Eukaryota; Metazoa; Chordata; Mammalia; Primates; Cercopithecidae.
GUUCAAGGCAGCAUGGGUAAGAGGAGCAACAAAGUGGAAGCAAGAAAGAAUUCUCAAACUCUCACUUCAAUCCUUACCAUCAAGUCCGUAGAGAAAGAAGACAUGGCCAUUUACUACUGUGCAGGAUGGGAGAUAGCACUUGGUGGAUCAAGAAAUUUGCAAAAGGGACUAGGCUCAUAGUAACUUCACCUGAUAAACAUCUUGAUGCAGAUGUUUCCCCCAAGCCCACUAUUUUUCUUCCUUCCAUUGCUGAAACAAACCUCCACAAGGCUGGAACAUACCUUUGUCUUCUUGAGAAAUUUUUCCCGGAUGUUAUUGAGAUACAUUGGCAAGAAAAGAAGAGCAACACGAUUCUGGGAUCCCAGGAGGGGAACACCGUGAAGACUAACGACACAUACAUGAAAUUUAGCUGGUUAACGGUGCCAGAAAACUCACUGGAUAAAGAGCACAGAUGUAUCGUCAGACAUGAGAAUAAUAAAAAUGGAGUUGAUCAAGAAAUUAUCUUUCCUCCAAUAAAGACAGAUGUCAUCACAAUGGAUCCCAAAGACAAUUGUUCAAAAGAUGCAAAUGAUGUACUACUGCUGCAGCUCACAAACACCUCUGCAUAUUAUAUGUACCUCCUCCUACUUGUCAAGAGUGAGGUCUAUUUUGCCAUCAUCGCCGUCUGUCUGCUUAGAAGAACGGCUGUCUGCUGCAAUGGAGAGAGACCGUAACAGACGGUGGCACAAGGACGCCAUCUUUUCCUCAUCGGUUAUUGUCCCUAGAAGUGUCUUCUGAGGAUCUAGUUGGGCUUUCUUUCUGGGUUUGAGCUAUUUCACUUCUCAUGUGUGUACUAUUCUAUCAUUGUUGUAGAAUGGUUUUCAAACCAGUGGGCGCACGGAAAACCUCAGUCUGUGAUGACAAUGAGGAAUAGCCAUGGCAGUCUCCAGCACCACUCUCUCCAUAUUCUCCACAGCUCCUCCAGCCAACCCAAAUAGCCACUGCCAUGGUGUAGACAGUCCGCGGCUUCUAGCCUUGUCCCUCCCUUAGUGUUCUUUAAUCAGAUCUAACUGCCUGGAAGCCUUUCAUUUGACACGCCCUGAAGCAGCCUUCUUUGCUAGUUGAAUUACAUGGUGUAUUUUUCCUAACAGGCAAAAUAAAUUUAAAAUAAUGAAAAGUUGA